Molecule: non-coding RNA, 224 nt
Organism: Tinamus guttatus (white-throated tinamou)
Lineage: Eukaryota; Metazoa; Chordata; Aves; Tinamiformes; Tinamidae
Source: RefSeq, a predicted model, not a curated record
CUUGUAGGAUUCUGAGUAACAACAAGAUAUUAUGGUUAAAGAAUGGCUCCUUCUUUGGACUGAGAUCCCUGGAGAGACUAGAUCUGAAGAAUAACUUAAUUAGCACAAUUGAGCCAGGGGCCUUUCAUGGACUUUCAGAACUGAAGCGCUUAGAUCUUUCGAAUAAUAGGAUUGGUUGUCUAACACCAGAAAUGUUUGUUGGACUUAACAAUCUUCACAAAUUG